Molecule: non-coding RNA, 215 nt
Organism: Pelobates cultripes (western spadefoot toad)
Lineage: Eukaryota; Metazoa; Chordata; Amphibia; Anura; Pelobatidae
Source: the annotation of a GenBank genome assembly
AGAUACACACACACAGUCAGAUACACACACAUAGUCAGAUAUACACACACAGUCAGAUAUACACACACAGUCAGAUACACACACACACAGUCAGAUACACACACACACAGUCAGAUACACACACACAGUCAGAUACACACACACAGUCAGAUAUACACACAUAGUCAGAUACACACACACAUAGUCAGAUACACACACACAUAGUCAGAUAUACA